Molecule: ribosomal RNA, 339 nt
Filed under: Salmonella enterica subsp. enterica serovar Enteritidis
Lineage: Bacteria; Pseudomonadati; Pseudomonadota; Gammaproteobacteria; Enterobacterales; Enterobacteriaceae
Description: partial 23S ribosomal RNA
Rfam family: Bacterial large subunit ribosomal RNA
Source: RNAcentral
GUUGUAUAGUCAAGUAAUGAAGUGCACAUGGUGGAUGCCUUGGCAGUCAGAGGCGAUGAAAGACGUGACAGCCUGCGAAAAGCGUCGGGGAGGCGGCAAUAUCCUGUGAUCCGGCGAUAUCUGAAUGGGGAAACCCACCUACCAUAAGGUAGGUACCCCGCUAUAUUUUAUAGCGGGGGGCAAACCGGGAGAAGUGAAACAUCUCAGUAACCCGAGGAAAAGACAUCAAUAGAGAUUCCCCUAGUAGCGGCGAGCGAACGGGGAGGAGCCGACUGAUUAUAAUUUAGAGGAAUGACUUGGAAAGGUCAAUCGUAGAGGGUGAUAAUCCCGUACUCGAAA